This 253-nucleotide ribosomal RNA is filed under the name uncultured bacterium. RNAcentral describes it as "partial 16S ribosomal RNA". It matches the Rfam family "Bacterial small subunit ribosomal RNA", at positions 524 to 776 of the family's 1533-position model. The record is from RNAcentral.
UACGUAGGGGGCAAGCGUUGUCCGGAAUCAUUGGGCGUAAAGAGCGUGUAGGCGGCCAGAUAAGUCCGCUGUGAAAUCUCGAGGCUCAACUUCGAGCUGUCGGUGGAAACUGUCUGACUAGAGUUCGGAAGAGGCGAGUGGAAUUCCCGGUGUAGCGGUGAAAUGCGCAGAUAUCGGGAGGAACACCUAUGGCGAAGGCAGCUCGCUGGGACGUUACUGACGCUGAGACGCGAAAGCGUGGGGAGCAAACAGG